Molecule: non-coding RNA, 112 nt
Organism: Acanthosepion pharaonis
Lineage: Eukaryota; Metazoa; Mollusca; Cephalopoda; Sepiida; Sepiidae
Source: the annotation of a GenBank genome assembly
UACAGUCAUAACAUGGUAAAACACCAGUUCCCGUACGAUUACCGAAGUUAAGCAACGUCGAGCCUGGUCAGUACGUAAAUGGAUGACUGCUCGGAAUAUCAGGUGGUGUAAG